Molecule: ribosomal RNA, 497 nt
Filed under: uncultured bacterium
Lineage: Bacteria
Description: partial 16S ribosomal RNA
Rfam family: Bacterial small subunit ribosomal RNA
Source: RNAcentral
GAUGAACGCUGGCGGCGUGCCUAAUACAUGCAAGUCGAGCGAACGGACGAGAAGCUUGCUUCUCUGAUGUUAGCGGCGGACGGGUGAGUAACACGUGGAUAACCUACCUAUAAGACUGGGAUAACUUCGGGAAACCGGAGCUAAUACCGGAUAAUAUUUUGAACCGCAUGGUUCAAAAGUGAAAGACGGUCUUGCUGUCACUUAUAGAUGGAUCCGCGCUGCAUUAGCUAGUUGGUAAGGUAACGGCGUACCAAGGCAACGAUGCAUAGCCGACCUGAGAGGGUGAUCGGCCACACUGGAACUGAGACACGGUCCAGACUCCUACGGGAGGCAGCAGUAGGGAAUCUUCCGCAAUGGGCGAAAGCCUGACGGAGCAACGCCGCGUGAGUGAUGAAGGUCUUCGGAUCGUAAAACUCUGUUAUUAGGGAAGAACAUAUGUGUAAGUAACUGUGCACAUCUUGACGGUACCUAAUCAGAAAGCCACGGCUAACUACGUG